Molecule: ribosomal RNA, 497 nt
Filed under: uncultured bacterium
Lineage: Bacteria
Description: partial 16S ribosomal RNA
Rfam family: Bacterial small subunit ribosomal RNA
Source: RNAcentral
GAUGAACGCUGGCGGCGUGCCUAAUACAUGCAAGUCGAGCGAACAGACGAGGAGCUUUCCCCUCUGACGUUAGCGGCGGACGGGUGAGUAACACGUGGAUAACCUACCUAUAAGACUGGGAUAACUUCGGGAAACCGGAGCUAAUACCGGAUAAUAUAUUGAACCGCAUGGCUCAAUAGUGAAAGACGGCUUUGCUGUCACUUAUAGAUGGAUCCGCGCCGCAUUAGCUAGUUGGUAAGGUAACGGCUUACCAAGGCAACGAUGCGUAGCCGACCUGAGAGGGUUGUCGGCCACACUGGAACUGAGACACGGUCCAGACGCCUACGGGAGGCAGCAGUAGGGAAUCUUCCGCGAUGGGCGAAAGCCUGACGGAGCAACGCCGCGUGAGUGAUGAAGGUCUUCGGAUCGUAAAGCUCUGUUAUUGGGGAAGAACAGAUGUGUAAGUAAAUAUGCACGUCUUGACGGUACCUAAUCAGAAAGCCACGGCUAACUACGUG